GUUCCCUACGGGGCGCAGCAGUGGGGGAUAUUGCACAAUGGGGGGAACCCUGAUGCAGCGACGCCGCGUGGGUGAAGAAGCGCCUCGGCGCGGAAAGCCCUGUCAGCAGGGAAGAAAAUGAUGGUACCUGAAGAAGAAGCCCCGGCUAACUACGUGCCAGCAGCCGCGGUAAUACGUAGGGGGCAAGCGUUAUCCGGAUUUACUGGGUGUAAAGGGGGCGCAGACGGCGAUGCAAGCCAGGAGUGAAAGCACGGGGCCCAACCCCGGGACUGCUCUUGAAACUGUUGGUCUUGAGUAUCGGAGAG
RNAcentral lists this ribosomal RNA (305 nucleotides) under uncultured bacterium. RNAcentral's name for it is "bacterial SSU rRNA". It matches the Rfam family "Bacterial small subunit ribosomal RNA", at positions 334 to 656 of the family's 1533-position model. The record is from RNAcentral.